GACCUCUGUCUCCCUGGCGAUCAAAGGCAGAGGCCCUCACCACCAGCUUCCCAAAAUGGGGCUCUCCAGCUCCGCCGGCUCUGGCCUUUGUGGGAGUUUACAGCCUUGAACUCCAGGUCCCCAAAUCAGUUCCUCCUGGUGUUGACUUGCAGCUGGAAAGGGCUGCAAUGAAGCAGAAGCCAGAAGGCCUAGGAAGCCAUGACCCCCGGCCCAAGUCAGUCCUCAGCUGCAUAACCCGUGUGGCCACUGGGCAGGGAAAGCGGCGGUUCCCAGGCCCCAUUCAUGCAACUCAGAAGUCCUGAAUCCUGAGGAACGCUGGCUCCUGUCUCCUGCUGUGGUUGCAGGUGCCAGGUCACGGGGGUCUUAUAAGGCAGGGCUGGAAGGAGGUGGGCCCCAGAGGGUCCAUUCCUUAAGUGUUGGCUUCAAGAUGGCCUGAGCCAUGGUGCACAGAGGUUCUGAGAACUGCCAAAGGGCAAUGUACUCUAAGAGUCAAGGUCACCAGCUGGUGACAAGGGCAAACCCAUUUGACCCACCUCUCCCACAGUGAAUACCCUGGAGAGAAAUGCAUUCUUGACUGUUCUCAGAACUCAUGUCCAGGCUUGAACUACCACAGAGCCCAUUUCUUUCCAGCUUUUCUUAGUUUUCUCCUUCUGGUAACCAAACUCCCCCUCACCUCUGAAAAGCAGCUUGAGGCUCGCCGCCUCCGGGAAGACCUCGCGGAGCAAGCCCACCCCUGGCUACUCUUUCCUUCCCUCCACGACCUUCCGGAUGCCACUGACAUGGCUUGAAUGGCUGGCAUGUGGCUGUGUCACCAUUCUCUUCAUUUAUAGCACAGAUUGCCAAGUCCCUGGCCUCCUUGAGGCCUCAGGUCGGGUAAGCUGUUAAAUGUUUGUAUCUGCACUGAGCCUCGUGCUCACUCUCCACACUUGGCAGCAAUUCCACCUAUUCCAGGGUCUCGAUGGUUCCAAAUUGCUGCUUAGAGCCUCCCAACAAUUCAGCCAGGCAGGCUGUGCGAUGCCCAUCUUACAGAGGACACCGCAGGUGGUCUGCAAACAGGUCAGAAAGUGAACCCAAGUCUAACAGAGACAAGAGGAACCCGGCCAUCAGAGAAUGAGGAGACAAGGAAACGGAUAGUAAUGUCAACAUUAAUAGCAUAAUAGCUACAUGGAGAAUUGUCACGGAGCUUCGAUGUCCAUUGUAUCACUUUGACCCUGUGAGAUAACAGAAAAGAUUUUGAUGCAUUUAUUUUAUAGGUGAUGAAACUGAAGCUUAAGUGGCUUUUCCAGGGUUACACAGCUAGCAGGAGGCCCAGCUUACCCCAAAGCUAGGAAGGACUUGAUUAUUCAGAAAAGGAAACUGACAAAGAGGCUGGGGUCUUUCCAAGCUCACACAGUUAGAGCAGAGGGGACCUCGGGGAUGUUCUGAGCCUCAGGCUCCACCAGACUUCCUCCAAGCCUGGCUCAGAGGUAGGAAUCUGUUCUUCUGGACAGUGCAGGGGGGCCCCUCCCCACCAGUCCCUGCCACCCAGGUCCUUCAGGACAUGUGAUCACAGCAUCACCUGCUCUGCCAUCAUUGCCUUGGCAGGUGCUCCACUGUUGUGCAACCAGGCCCGGGGCUGGGCUGGCCCCAUCAAAUCAACAGCUGGUUGGCUUGGGCCGGCUGAGUCUGCCCCUCUGGAGCUCAGCUGUGACAGCAAUGAAUCAUACUAAUGGAGAGAGGUGGCCAUUCCUUCUCUGUGGCCUGGAGACAGGUUUUCCCAAAACUCCUCCCCUGGCUCAGGCAAACACACCUGACCUUUCUCUCGCUGGGCCCAGGGUGAGGCAGAGCAGCCAGGAGCAAGGUGGGGUGAACCAGACAGAGCUGGAGUGCUCUCCCACCCCUGCUUUGCCCAGCCACCCCGCCAAGCCCAUGAUUCCAGGCAGGGUAAGGCCCUCCUCCCAGAGGAAGGGGCCAACAGUCCGGUGACCUUGGAGUGCGCUUCGCCUGGCACUCCCCUCACACUGCUCCCUACAGCUUGCACUCUGCCUCUGACUCUCUUCCAAGAACGAAUGGACAAGUUCUAAUCUACAUCUUGAAAAAAAAAAAAAAACCCAGAGAGGUAGGAGGGCCACAGCACCUGGGGUCCCAGAAGGCAGACUGCUGACACCUAUUCCUACUGUAGGGCUACAAACCAGUGCCACAUGCCUGGAGGCUGAGUGGACACUCCUGGUCCUCCUCACGGAGAUGUAUAGCACUCUGAGCUCUGAUCCAGUUGAUCUGUGUGAAGUCCCCAGACAAACACAUAACCAUUCAACUCCCACAGGAGGCUUCUUGGAGCACGGUCCAGCUAGUUCGUCUUGAAGGGACAGCCAUGCUCCAGGUGCAGUCUUGGGAGCCAUCUGAUCACUGUCCCUUCAUCCAAGCAUCUGCUUUCUGAAGGAGACGAGGCCAUGUGCUGUCAAGCGCUGUGGACACACAGCCUGGGGUCAAGUCCUAGCUCCUCCACCCCCAACUGGACCAGCCACUAUUUUACCUCUGACCGAUCUCAGAACACAGCUGGAUUACCAGGAGGAAAACUAAGUGAGUGCUUAGAGGCUGGCAAAGUAAGGAGAACCAUUUGUAGAUGAUGUGCUAGAGAUGCUGACCAUCAUUCCUUACUCUUAAUUAUUAUGAGAAAAAUGAGAACCCCCUCCUUGGACUUCCUUAUUCCUAUGCUGAAGUGUAAUGUUCUGUUUUUAACAAUGUAUGGGGGUAGCACACACAGUGCUUUGCAUGCCUGGGGCCUCUAAGGGUCUCAGUCUGGCCUUGCUCUGAAAUUGCUGCAAGGCCUGCCAAUUCCCUGAUGUAUCACGAGUGUUCCUGAACAAUAAGCUCAUUUACCAGGUCUAGCUGUGACCAGAUAUUUUUUAAUCACCAUGAUCACUGGGUUGACAGGUUGAGCUUGAGCUCCACCAUAAGCCUGAGUCUUUCCAAAGGCCUGGGGGACCGAAGGCAGAAGCAAGAGCACACGUAGAGAAGGCACUGAGCAAGCGGAUCUGUGCAGUUCUUCGGUUCUAAACAACUUGCAGAAUCCAGGCGGACUCAGGGCCUGUGUGGCCACUGGGCAGGGAAGGUGGUGGUUCCUAGGCCCAUCAAAACCCCAAGGAGCACUGACUUCUGUCUCCUGCUAUAGCUUCAGGUGCCAGGUUCACUGGGGUCUUAGAAGGUGGGGCUGGAAGGAGGUGGGCCCAGAGGGUUCCACUCCUUAAGUGCUGGCUUCAAGAUGGAAGAUAUUAAGACGUUCCAGGGGUUGAUUCUUUUUUUGAGACACCAAGAUGUUCCACGCUUCUGUAGAGCAGGCACAGUCCUUGCCCUCCAGGACUUGUAUCAAUAAAGACACAAAA
This is a non-coding RNA of Macaca mulatta (Rhesus monkey), 3362 nucleotides long. The record is from RefSeq and is a predicted model, not a curated record. NCBI's taxonomy places the organism in Eukaryota, Metazoa, Chordata, Mammalia, Primates, Cercopithecidae.